UACGGAGGGUGCGAGCGUUGUCCGGAUUUACUGGGCGUAAAGGGCGCGUAGGCGGUCGAUUAAGUUACUUGUGAAAUCUCUGAGCUUAACUCAGAGCGGCCAAGUAAUACGAUUUGACUAGAGUGCAGAAGGGGCAACUGGAAUUCUUGGUGUAGCGGUGAAAUGCGUAGAUAUCAAGAGGAACACCUGAGGCGAAGGCGGGUUGCUGGGCUGACACUGACGCUGAGGCGCGAAAGCUAGGGGAGCAAACAGG
Molecule: ribosomal RNA, 253 nt
Filed under: uncultured bacterium
Lineage: Bacteria
Description: partial 16S ribosomal RNA
Rfam family: Bacterial small subunit ribosomal RNA
Source: RNAcentral